This 248-nucleotide ribosomal RNA is filed under the name Ditylum brightwellii. RNAcentral describes it as "partial Bacterial large subunit ribosomal RNA". It matches the Rfam family "Bacterial large subunit ribosomal RNA", at positions 1 to 259 of the family's 2925-position model. Lineage: Eukaryota; Bacillariophyta; Thalassiosirophyceae; Lithodesmiales; Lithodesmiaceae. The record is from RNAcentral.
AGCGAAUAAGUGCACAUGGUGGAUGCCUUGGCGAUUACAGGCGAUGAAGGACGUAGUAGCUUGCGAUAAGCUGCGGGGAGUGAGCAAACACACUUUGAUCCGCAGAUUUCCGAAUGGGGAAACCCGGCCUUUUAGGUCAUUGCAUACUGAAUACAUAGGUAUGCAAAGCGAACGCGGCGAACUGAAACAUCUAAGUAGCUGCAGGAAAAGAAAUCAACCGAGAUUCCCUAAGUAGUGGCGAGCGAACG